This 253-nucleotide ribosomal RNA is filed under the name uncultured bacterium. RNAcentral describes it as "partial 16S ribosomal RNA". It matches the Rfam family "Bacterial small subunit ribosomal RNA", at positions 524 to 776 of the family's 1533-position model. The record is from RNAcentral.
UACGUAGGUGGCAAGCGUUGUCCGGAUUUACUGGGCGUAAAGAGCGCGCAGGCGGUCGGAUAAGUCGAAUGUGAAAGCCCCUGGCUCAACCAGGGAGGGUCAUUCGAUACUGUUCGACUCGAAGGCAGGAGAGGGAAGUGGAAUUCCGGGUGUAGUGGUGAAAUGCGUAGAUAUCCGGAGGAACACCAGUGGCGAAGGCGACUUUCUGGCCUGUUCUUGACGCUGAGGCGCGAAAGCUAGGGUAGCAAACGGG